AAGAAAUUAGAAAUUACGGUUCCUCAUCCGUCACUCCGUGCGACUGCUGCAGUGCUGCCGACGCCCGACUACUGUGACGCCUUCUUCCUCAGCUCGUCGUUCAUUCUUCUUCCUCAGGUAGCUCCACAGCAGGUAGCGUUGAUAAGUAAUAGCGGCACAUCCUCCUCCCACCAGUCUUGGUGAGCCCCAUUUCAUUUUGGAGUUAUGCAUCUUUUGUUCCUUAUGUAUUGUACUUGAGGUAUAGCCGAUGCCUUGUUGCCGGAACUUUUAUUGUACUCUUUUGUAUCUAUUAGAGGUACCGUAGACAUAAUGUGGGUUGUAUAUGGGUGCUGGGAAAGCCAGACCAAAUUUUAUUGUGUUUGAAUCAUUUAUUCCACUUCCAACUAUGAAAAAUAUAUAUAUUUUGAGAUUUUAAGAUAAAGUAACUAAUGAAAUGAUGUAGUAUUGUAUUCA
This is a long non-coding RNA of Nicotiana attenuata, 453 nucleotides long. RefSeq lists it as uncharacterized. Lineage: Eukaryota; Viridiplantae; Streptophyta; Magnoliopsida; Solanales; Solanaceae. The record is from RefSeq and is a predicted model, not a curated record. The transcript has 2 exons.